Molecule: ribosomal RNA, 501 nt
Filed under: uncultured bacterium
Lineage: Bacteria
Description: bacterial SSU rRNA
Rfam family: Bacterial small subunit ribosomal RNA
Source: RNAcentral
GAUGAACGCUAGCGGCAGGCUUAAUACAUGCAAGUUGAGGGGCAGCAUGAUAUACGCGAGUAUAUUGAUGGCGACCGGCGGACGGGUGAGUAAUAGGUAGGAGACCUACCUCAUACAGGGGGAUAGCAUAGAGAAAUCUGUGGUAAUACCCCAUGAGGUUAUAUGAAUAGAGGCAUAUAAUCAAAGCAUAAGCGAUUAUGCGGUAUGAGAGGGGCCUACUGACCAUUAGCUAGUUGGUGAGGUAAGGGCUCACCAAGGCGAAGAUGGUUAGGGGUUUUGAGAGAGAGACCCCCCACAUUGGAACUGAGAGACGGUCCAGACUCCUACGGGAGGCAGCAGUAGGGAAUAUUGGGCAAUGGGCGAAAGCCUGACCCAGCCAUGCCGCGUGAAGGAAGACGGCCUUAUGGGUUGUAAACUUCUUUACUACGCGAAUAGAGGUUAGUACGAGAUACUAAUAGGAAGGUAGUGUAAGUAAAAAGCAACCGGCUAACUCCGUGACCG